Molecule: small nuclear RNA, 161 nt
Organism: Otolemur garnettii (small-eared galago)
Lineage: Eukaryota; Metazoa; Chordata; Mammalia; Primates; Galagidae
Gene: U1
Rfam family: U1 spliceosomal RNA
About the family: U1 is a small nuclear RNA (snRNA) component of the spliceosome (involved in pre-mRNA splicing).
Source: Ensembl
CUACUUAUCUGGGAGAGGACAUAAAAUGAUGGUGAAGGUGGUUUUCCCAGGUAAGUUUUAUCCAUUGCACUCUGAUGUGCUGACCCCGCAGUUUCCCCAAAUGUGUAAACUUGACCAUAUAAUUUGUGGUAGUAGGGCAACUGUGUUUAUACCUUUCCCUG